AGUCUAAAACAGGAGAAAUGGGCACUGUUGAUCACGGCCUCCAAAAAUUGUGGCAACGUGGCUGAACAGAGACAUAGAUUGUACUUCCAGCACAGUAAAUGCAUUGCAGUGGUGACAGUGAGACCUGAAACAUUU
Oryctolagus cuniculus (rabbit) is the source of this 135-nucleotide small nucleolar RNA. NCBI's taxonomy places the organism in Eukaryota, Metazoa, Chordata, Mammalia, Lagomorpha, Leporidae. The record is from Ensembl.